CCUACGGGAGGCAGCAGUGAGGAAUAUUGGUCAAUGGGCGCAAGCCUGAACCAGCCAAGUCGCGUGAGGGAUGACGGUCCUAUGGAUUGUAAACCUCUUUUGUCGGGGAGCAAGGCCCGCCACGUGUGGCGGGAAGGAGAGUACCCGAAGAAAAAGCAUCGGCUAACUACGUGCCAGCAGCCGCGGUAAUACGUAGGGGGCAAGCGUUAUCCGGAUUUACUGGGUGUAAAGGGAGCGUAGACGGUGCGCCAAGUCUGGAGUGAAAUGCCGCAGCUUAACUGCGGAACUGCUUUGGAAACUGGCGAACUAGAGUGCGGGAGGGGUAAGCGGAAUUCCUAGUGUAGCGGUGAAAUGCGUAGAUAUUAGGAGGAACACCGGUGGCGAAGGCGGCUUACUGGACCGUAACUGACGUUGAGGCUCGAAAGCGUGGGGAGCAAACAGGAUUAGAUACCCCUGUAGUC
This 461-nucleotide ribosomal RNA is filed under the name uncultured bacterium. RNAcentral describes it as "partial 16S ribosomal RNA". It matches the Rfam family "Bacterial small subunit ribosomal RNA", at positions 338 to 795 of the family's 1533-position model. The record is from RNAcentral.